UACAGGGGGGGCAAGCGUUGUUCGGAAUUACUGGGCGUAAAGGGCUCGUAGGCGGCCAACUAAGUCCGACGUGAAAUCCCAAAGCUUAACUUUGGAACUGCGUCGGAUACUGGAUGGCUUGAAUUCGGGAGAGGGAUGCAGAAUUCCAGGUGUAGCGGUGAAAUGCGUAGAUAUGUGGAGGAAUACCGAUGGCGAAGGCAGCCCCCUGGGAUAACACUGACGCUCAUGCACGAAAGCGUGGGGAGCAAACAGG
This 253-nucleotide ribosomal RNA is filed under the name uncultured bacterium. RNAcentral describes it as "partial 16S ribosomal RNA". It matches the Rfam family "Bacterial small subunit ribosomal RNA", at positions 524 to 776 of the family's 1533-position model. The record is from RNAcentral.